GGGUGAGUAACACGUGGGUAACCUGCCUUAAAGUGGGGGAUAACACUUGGAAACAGGUGCUAAUACCGCAUAACCAUCAAAACCGCCUGGUUUUGAUGUUAAAGAUGGUUCUGCUAUCGCUUUAAGAUGGACCCGCGGCGUAUUAGCUAGUUGGUGAGGUAAUGGCUUACCAAGGCAAUGAUACGUAGCCGAACUGAGAGGUUGAUCGGCCACAUUGGGACUGAGACACGGCCCAAACUCCUACGGGAGGCAGCAGUAGGGAAUCUUCCACAAUGGACGAAAGUCUGAUGGAGCAACGCCGCGUGAGUGAAGAAGGUUUUCGGAUCGUAAAACUCUGUUGUCAGAGAAGAACGUGUGUGAGAGUAACUGUUCACGCAGUGACGGUAUCUGACCAGAAAGUCACGGCUAACUACGUGCAGCACCCGCGGUAAUACGUAAGUGGCAAGCGUUGUCCGGAUUUAUUGGGCGUAAAGGGAACGCAGGCGGUCUUUUAAGUCUGAUGUGAAAGCCUUCGGCUUAAC
RNAcentral lists this ribosomal RNA (521 nucleotides) under uncultured bacterium. RNAcentral's name for it is "bacterial SSU rRNA". It matches the Rfam family "Bacterial small subunit ribosomal RNA", at positions 104 to 613 of the family's 1533-position model. The record is from RNAcentral.